UUGUUCCCGGCCUCAUUUAAACUUGCCUUGAUGUGUUGUUCUUGUGUGCAUCAUCUCUUGCCAUGAGUAGCUUCAUGUAGCUUGGUCAUGCAUCAUGCUUGUUGUGCAUCAUGUCAUGUUCAUGUGUGGUGUGUUUACCAUGUAGUGUGCUUCUUCUCGAUAGUUCCCGUUUCGUUGCGAUCGUGAGGAUUCGUUCGUCUUCGGUUGGUUCGGCUUCAUCCGUUCAUCUUCUUCAUGGACUCGUUCUUCUUCCUUGCGGGAUUUCAGGCAAGAUGACCGCUACCCUGGAUCUCACUACUAUCAUUGCUAUGCUAGUUGCCUCGUUCUUUCGCUAUGCUGCGCUACCUAUUACCUGUUUGUCCAGCCAUCCCAUAUUGCCAUGAACCUCUAACCUUUGACACCUUUCCUAUGCAAACCGUUGUUUGGCUAUGUUACCGCUUUUGCUCAGCCCCUCUUAUAGCGUUGCUAGUUGCAGGUGAAGUUGAAGAUUUCUCCAUGGUGGACAGGGUUUAUGUUGGGAUAUCAUAAUAUCUCUUAUAUUAUUAAUGCAUCUAUAUACUUGGUAAAGGGUGGAAGGCUCGGCCUUAUGCCUGGUGUUUUGUUCCACUCUUGCCGCCCUAGUUUCCGUCAUACCGGUGUUAUGUUCCCGGAUUUUGCGUUCCUUACACGGUCGGGUGAUUUAUGGGACCCCCCUGACAGUUCGCUUUGAAUAAAACUUGUCCAGCAAGGCCCAACAUUGACUUUUACCAUUUGCCUCACCUAGCCCUUUUUCCCUUGGGAGUCGCGCUCUCGAGGGUCAUCUUUAUUUACCCCCCCCCCCGGGCCAGUGCUCGUUGUGAGUGUUGGUCCAAACCGUCAGCCGCCAGUGGCCACCAGGGGCAACUCUGGGCUGGCUUACCGGAAGUUUGGACAAUCCGGUGUGCCCUGAGAACGAGAUAUGUGCAGCUCCUAUCAGGAUUUGUCGGCACAUUCGGGCGGCUUUGCUGGUCUUGUUUUACCAUUGUCGAAAUGUCUUGAUGUACCGGGAUUCCGAGACUGAUCGGGUCUUCCUGGGUGAAGGUCUAUUCCUUCGAUGAUCGCGAGAGCCUGUCAUGGGCUAAGUUGGGACACCCCUGCAGGGUAUAAACUUUCGAGAGCCGUGCCCGCGGUUAUGUGGCAGAUGGGAAUUUGUUAAUGUCCGGUUGUAGACAACUUGACACUUGAUCCGAAUUAAAAUGCAUCAACCGAGUGUGUAGCCGUGAUGGUCUCUUCUCGGCGGAGUCCGGGAAGUGAACACGACUUCUGUGUUAUGUUUGACGUAAGUAGGUGUUCAGGAUCACCUCUUGAUCAUUGCUAGCUUCACGUCCGUUCCGCUUGUUCUCUUCUCGCUCUUAUUUGCGUUGGUUAGCCACCAUACCUUUGCUUAGUCGCUGCUGCAACCUCACCACUUUGCCCCUUCCUUUCCCAUUAAGCUUUGCUAGUCUUGAUACCCAUGGUAAUGGGAUUGCUGAGUCCUCGUGGCUCACCAGAUACUUCCAAAACCAGUUUGCAGGUGCCUAUGUUACCGAGCAGGUGACGCAACCAAGCUCAAGGAGGAGCUCGAUGAAGAUCUUGCCUUUUGUGUUGUUUCGUUCUAGUUGAUCAGUAGUGGAGCCCAGUUGGGGUCGAUCGGGGACCUUUUGUCGCAUUUGGGGUUCUUCUUUUAUUUUGGUUCCGUAGCCAGACCUUGAUUGUAUCUGGAUGAUGUAAUGCUUUAUUCAUGUAAUUGUGUGAAGUGGCGAUUGUAAGCCAACUAUGUAUCUCUUUCCCUUAUGUAUUACUUGGGAUGUGUGAAGAUUACCUCACUUGCGACAUUGCUUUCAAUGCGGUUAUGCCUCUAAGUCGUGCUUCAACACGUGGGAGAUAUAGCCGCAUCGAGGGCGUUACAAGUUGGUAAUCAGAGCCUUCCCCGACCUUAGGAGCCCCACUGCUUGAUCGUUUUUAGUGGCCGAGUUGUGUCUAGAAAAAUGUUUUGAGUCAUUUAGGAAUUAUAUAUCGGAGAGUAGGAUUGUUUUUACUCCCCAGUCCCUUCGACCUUCUGGUGAGGUAUCCUGACAUAGAGUUUUGACUCUUCUCUUCUUAAAUUUCACUAAAUUUUUUUUUUUAGGAUCACGGUAUCUUGGAAUCGUUCCGAUAUUCUUAUGACGAGAACAUUGUUCUUGGUGCCUCCUAACAUUUAGGGGUUGUGGCAGUGUCCCGGGGAGUUGAGCUCCGAGGUGUUGUCGUCAUAAUUUUAUCGUUGCAGUUCUGGAAUACCUGAGUUUAGUACGCCGACAUCGAAAAUCUCUUUUAUGCAGUUGUUGGUGAGAUAACCCCGCUAACCCAGUACUGAGGUGAGUACGGGAGUAUUGCCAUGACUCGUAUAACGGAUGCUUUUCGAAGGUUGAGGUAGACGAUUUCCGAAGGUUUCUUGGUUAUGUGUUGACGGAUGGAUACAGCUGGAUGUAGGGAUUGUUAGUUUGGGUGAUAUAUAUUGCUCCCCUGUAUCCCCAACACCAGAUUGCAUAACCAGAAAGUUUUGGGAGUUUCAUAGGUGGGAAUUCAAGUAGCUCUUAGGAUAUCUUUCUGACGGAUGUAUGAUAUGAAAUUGGGGCUCGAAGUCUAGUGGUCCGCCUAUUCACGGUUGGCUUUACAGUGGUCUCGUUGUGUCUUAAAGAGUCCUUGGCUAUGCCAACUCGGGGACGCUUCGUAUGUCAUGUGCACUGCCUUGUACAUGAUGGUGCUGUACGAUUGAGCCCGUGUAGGCCCCACCACAAAAACUUCAGACGAAAUCUCUAUCAUAUGUUUGUUCCGGCUUAUUCUGCAAGCCAGUACUUUGUUUUUGUUUUGAGUUGUGGUAUUCGAGUUGCUUCAAUGUCAAGUGUUGAUUCCAUACCUUUCCUAAAUGGUGGUCUCAUACUCCGAUGUGAAUACCAAUCCUUCUCGACAAUCGAGAUUGUCAUGUCAAUCCUUUUCAACCGGUGUGCUUCUCUUCAAGUGGAUCCCAUCAUUUUUCCCAUCCGGAAGAUCAAAUCUAAGUUUUCUCAACGGUGUUUGUUUCAUCCAUCCCAAGUUGUCUUUGUUUUCCCGCCCACCCACCCUUUUUCCUCAAGGACUCAGAUUUCUUAACCAAGUAUCCAUUUAUUCAUGUGAAGUUUCUCCAUUCUUUUCCGUCAAUGUUCUUACCCGGUGGUUCUCAAGAAGAUGUCCUACUAGUUUGUCAUUCGUCAUUCCUUUCUCUUCUCCGGUGGAUUCAAGUCAAGUUUUGUUGAUCAUAUCUUUUUCCUCAUUUCAAUGUCUUCUCAUACCGGUGCACCUCAUUAUCAUUCUACUUCUCGCUAUUUGUUAUUCCGGAGUGCUCAAGAUAUCUCGAAGAUUUGCGUUUCCAUUCUCAAUCCCUUCAAGAUAUUUCGAGAUUGGUAUCCCAUUCAAGUCAUUUAAUUCAACCGGUGCAACAUCUCUUUUAAAUAAUUUCCGAUGGUGUUUCUUUUGAGUGGGCCCUAACCCACAGGUCUUUUUCCAGGAUCUUACCUGACUCUUCUAUUUUCCCAGAGCUAUCCUAAAUUCUUCUCCAAGUUUGACGUAAGAAUGAGUUAUCAUCAGUCAAAUGCUUUCUCCAAGAUCUUUUAAAUUCUUUUCAUAGUUGGCUCAACUUCUUCGCUUUUGAUUCUUCCGGUGUGCCUCAAUAAUUCUCGGUGGUGUUUCUCGUCAUCAUUCUCAACAUUUGAAGACCGAAGAAGAGUUUCUCUUUAAUCUUGCUCUAUUCUCUUCAAGAUGCGUGGUUCUAGCUUGUUGCCAUCCUCUCAUAAUUGUUUUCGAUUGUGAGAAUUCUUUUCACCCAUCCGGAGCAUUUCAUGAGUUGUUUCCAUUUCUUUCUUCCGAAGGCCAUCAUUUCUGAAUACUACUCAUUCUCAGCUUUCAGCUCUCGUUCUUGAAUUCUUACCGGUGAAUCGUUCAAUUAUCCUCUAAUCAGUUCAUGUUCUCUUCAUUCUCAUGUAUCUAAAUCCCCUCAAGUAUCUUCAUUCGUCUUCCAAUUCUUCCGGUGAAUUGUGCAUUUGCUACUCUCUUUUUCAAUUCUUACGGUGGUUCUUUCAAGAUCUCUCUUCCUUGUUCAUCAUAUCAAUAUUUGUUGUUUCCAAAUCCCACCGGUGGUUCCAUCAAUACCUUCUCAAGCUUGCGCCAUAUCUAUCUUAAUCCUUUCUACGAGAAUAAGUAGUAUGCCAAAUCCAUUGCUUGUCAUCAAUCUAAUUGGUGAAGGAUGAGCAUAAUGUAAUUCUUAUUCUUGUUUCAUCGAGUAAAUUCAAUUCUUUUCUUCCGGAGAUUGUUCAGGAUGAAGUAAUUCUCGGUUCUAGUGUUCAUCUUUUCUUUCCAGAGUUCCAAGUUUUCUUGGAUGUCUCGUCACGAAGCUCCACCUAUAUCAUUGCAAGGCUUCAAUCUUGUUUGCUUCAACCUUCAAUUCUUGUAUGUUAUCAUUUCCUAUCCGGAGUUCUUCAUGCAGGCAACAUGGUGAUUCGUCAAGGAUUCUAUUCAUUCUUCAAUUGUUCUUCAAGUUUUCUCUUGAAGUUAUGACCCGCCAAGCUAUACUCUAAAAUAAACAUGGUGCUCAACACAUGUUUUGUUUUGAGGAGCUCAAGUAUUCUUCAUCUUGCAUCCCAAAGUGCAAUUCUUCUCCAUUAUCUGUUGAGGUGGUGUUAUGUCACUCUUGACAAUUUCCUUCUUGUUUCAUGAUUCAUAUGUUGUCAAGAAUGAGGUACUUUAAAUCCACCAAUAUCUUCCUUGGAGUCAUCUUGUGUCAUGGUUCACCUAAAGCUUUCCCUAAGGAUUGUUGCUAAUUAUGGUGCUUAUAAAUGACCCAAGUUCUUCACUUGUCCUCCCGGUGAAAUAAGUUUCUCGUCUCCUUGUUGAUAUUCAAUCCAAUCAUUUGUUUCCGUUGGUGGCAGAAGCUCACCUCAUAAUUUUGAGAUGCUUUCAUAAGCCCGCCACAAGCUUAUUCUUUUCGUUGUUGGUUUCCCAACAACCCCGUUAUAACCUUCUUAGAAGGGUGCUUUCCAAGAUCAUUUGUGGCAGAAGUUGGCAUUUUCUUCUCCGUUCUUUUAUUCAAAUGAUCUAUCUUCUAUUCUUUCGUUACGGAGGUAUGGUGAUGUUGCUCUCUUCACUAAUCAUCUCAAAUUGUGAGGAUCGUGGUCUUUUCUUGCUUAUCCAUUUAACCGGAGUGUUGUAUCAUCUCUUCAGUAUCUUUUCAUCUCAUCAAGUUUUCUUCUCUUUUCUACCGGAGUGCUGUCCAAAUUCUGUCAUGCUUGUUCCUUGUCUAUCUCAUUAUACCGAGGUGGUCAUAUUCUUUUCGUUCGUGAAACUUUUGAUUCAUGUCUUUGCAACCUUCAGUUCUCGUAAUGUUCCUUGUUCCUUUUUUCUAACGGAUUGUUUGCAAUCUCGUUCAUCUCAGUCGUACUCUUUCUUUUAAAUUGCUCAACCUCUCAAGGUCCGUUGUUUCACUCGUUUGCCGAAGAAGCAACUUAGUUUUACCUCUUCUCUUCCUCUUCCGUUUCUCUCCGGUGCCAUCCUAGAUCUCGGGACGAGAUCCUCUCGUAGUGGUGGAGUGUUGUAACGCCCCGGAUCCGAUGUGCCAGGUGUCGUCCAGUUAUUCGUUGUUGUUGCCUUGUCAUCUUCUUGCGUGUUGCAUUUUAUCAUGUCAUCAUGUGCAUUUCAUUUUGCAUACGUGUUCGUCUCAUGCAUCCGAGCCUUUUCCCCGUUGUCCGUUUUACAAUCCGGCACUCCUAUGUCCUCCGGUGUUCCCUUCUUCCCUCUUUUCGUGUGCGGGUAUUAAACUUUCUCGGAAUGGCCCGAGGUUUGCCAAGCGGCCUUGGUAUAGCACCGGUAGACCGCCUGUCAAGUUUCGUGCCAUUUGGAGGUCGUUUGGUACUCCAACGGUUAACCGGGUAACCAUAAAGCCCUCUUUGAGUUGCAGCCCAACACCCCUUCCAAAGUGGCCCAAAACCCAUCUAACUCCCCUCCAUGUUCUCGGUCGUUCGAUCACGAUCGCGUGGCCGAAAACCACUCCUCAUUUGGACUCUCCUAGCUCCCUCCACCUAUAAAAACGUCUUCCCCUCUCCAUUUUCGGAUCAUUUCCCCCCGAAACCCUAACCCCGCUCCUCUCCGCGCCGCCGGACACGUCCGAUCUGGACCGGACGCGUCCGCCGGCCACCUCACUCCGGCCAAUAGCAGGCUGCCACGUCACCCCGCCGCCGCCGCUAGCUACCCACACACCGCCACCUCACCCGCGCCCGCACCCUCUCUCUCCUCCCUCCGCCGCAGCCCGCGGGAGGCCCUCCCGGCCCGGUCGGCUGCCGCCGCUGGCGGCACCCCGUGCCUCCCGGGCCCGCGCUCGCCCUCCGCGUCGCUAUGCCAUCCAUCAUCGCCGGCGACCGGGGCCUCGCCGGAGCCCCACAUCGCCGGCCCCGCCGCCCUGCCUCGCGGGUNNNNNNNNNNNNNNNNNNNNNNNNNNNNNNNNNNNNNNNNNNNNNNNNNNNNNNNNNNNNNNNNNNNNNNNNNNNNNNNNNNNNNNNNNNNNNNNNNNNNNNNNNNNNNNNNNNNNNNNNNNNNNNNNNNNNNNNNNNNNNNNNNNNNNNNNNNNNNNNNNNNNNNNNNNNNNNNNNNNNNNNNNNNNNNNNNNNNNNNNNNNNNNNNNNNNNNNNNNNNNNNNNNNNNNNNNNNNNNNNNNNNNNNNNNNNNNNNNNNNNNNNNNNNNNNNNNNNNNNNNNNNNNNNNNNNNNNNNNNNNNNNNNNNNNNNNNNNNNNNNNNNNNNNNNNNNNNNNNNNNNNNNNNNNNNNNNNNNNNNNNNNNNNNNNNNNNNNNNNNNNNNNNNNNNNNNNNNNNNNNNNNNNNNNNNNNNNNNNNNNNNNNNNNNNNNNNNNNNNNNNNNNNNNNNNNNNNNNNNNNNNNNNNNNNNNNNNNNNNNNNNNNCUCGUGUCGGCGCCGUUCCCCGCCGGGGACCCCCACCGCGCCGCCUCCCGCGCCUGGCCGCCGGAUCCGCCCCGUCCCCGCCGUCCGCCGGCGUCCUCGCCUCGCCGGAUUUGCAGCGCCGCCCCUACCUCGCUCGAUCCAGGCGGGAUCGAGGAGGACGAACCCCUCCGCGGGCCAAGGCCCAGCCCCGUCCAGAUCCGACCCAGCCUCCUCGGCCCAGCGGCCUCCAGGCCCAACGUCCAGCUCCAGCGGCCCAGCCGGCCUCCCCUCCAAGGCCCAGCGCCAGGCCUCCUCUGCUUCCGACCCGGGCCAGGCCCAAUGUGAGCACAACCCCAGCCCAGCACCCAGCGGUUUCAGCCCGUGUAUAUUUUUUCCUGCUACUGCGGUUUUAACAUUAUCCAUUGUAUUAACAGUUUUACAGAAAAACCCCUCCAUGUUCAUGCAUUAAUAACUCAUUAACCGUGCAUCGGAUUAAAACAAACUUUAUAUGUAAAAUGCUUAGAAUUUCAUCUAGUUUCAUAAUAUGCCAUUUUCAUCCAUGUUUAAAAUGUAUAAAAUGUUGUUUUUUUAAUUUUGCUCAAAUAGCAUGUUAAAAUGAUUUAUUUCAUAACUAAUUAACCGUAGCUCCAUUUUAAAUAAACUUUAUAUGUAAAUGGGGUGAAAAAAUGCCUAGUUUAACAUGGUCCACUUUAUUUUCCUGUUUAACAACUUUAAAAUAUGGUUUAGGACAGAACAGUACCAAUUUCGAAAUAUGCAUAUGAGGACUUACCGGAAUUGUUAUAUGUUGUUCCCGGCCUCAUUUAAACUUGCCUUGAUGUGUUGUUCUUGUGUGCAUCAUCUCUUGCCAUGAGUAGCUUCAUGUAGCUUGGUCAUGCAUCAUGCUUGUUGUGCAUCAUGUCAUGUUCAUGUGUGGUGUGUUUACCAUGUAGUGUGCUUCUUCUCGAUAGUUCCCGUUUCGUUGCGAUCGUGAGGAUUCGUUCGUCUUCGGUUGGUUCGGCUUCAUCCGUUCAUCUUCUUCAUGGACUCGUUCUUCUUCCUUGCGGGAUUUCAGGCAAGAUGACCGCUACCCUGGAUCUCACUACUAUCAUUGCUAUGCUAGUUGCCUCGUUCUUUCGCUAUGCUGCGCUACCUAUUACCUGUUUGUCCAGCCAUCCCAUAUUGCCAUGAACCUCUAACCUUUGACACCUUUCCUAUGCAAACCGUUGUUUGGCUAUGUUACUGCUUUUGCUCAGCCCCUCUUAUAGCGUUGCUAGUUGCAGGUGAAGUUGAAGAUUUCUCCAUGGUGGACAGGGUUUAUGUUGGGAUAUCACAAUAUCUCUUAUAUUAUUAAUGCAUCUAUAUACUUGGUAAAGGGUGGAAGGCUCGGCCUUAUGCCUGGUGUUUUGUUCCACUCUUGCCGCCCUAGUUUCCGUCAUACCGGUGUUAUGUUCCCGGAUUUUGCGUUCCUUACGCGGUCGGGUGAUUUAUGGGACCCCCCUGACAGUUUGCUUUGAAUAAAACUUGUCCAGCAAGGCCCAACAUUGACUUUUACCAUUUGCCUCACCUAGCCCUUUUUCCCUUGGGAGUCGCGCUCUCGAGGGUCAUCUUUAUUUACCCCCCCCCCCGGGCCAGUGCUCGUUGUGAGUGUUGGUCCAAACCGUCAGCCGCCGGUGGCCACCAGGGGCAACUCUGGGCUGGCCUACCGGAAGUUUGGACAAUCCGGUGUGCCCUGAGAACGAGAUAUGUGCAGCUCCUAUCAGGAUUUGUCAGCACAUUCGGGCGGCUUUGCUGGUCUUGUUUUACCAUUGUCGAAAUGUCUUGAUGUACCGGGAUUCCGAGACUGAUCGGGUCUUCCUGGGUGAAGGUCUAUUCCUUCGAUGAUCGCGAGAGCCUGUCAUGGGCUAAGUUGGGACACCCCUGCAGGGUAUAAAAUUUCGAGAGCCGUGCCCGCGGUUAUGUGGCAGAUGGGAAUUUGUUAAUGUCCGGUUGUAGACAACUUGACACUUGAUCCGAAUUAAAACGCAUCGACCGAGUGUGUAGCCGUGAUGGUCUCUUCUCGGCGGAGUCCGGGAAGUGAACACGACUUCUGUGUUAUGUUUGACGUAAGUAGGUGUUCAGGAUCACCUCUUGAUCAUUGCUAGCUUCACGUCCGUUCCGCUUGUUCUCUUCUCGCUCUUAUUUGCGUUGGUUAGCCACCAUACCUUUGCUUAGUCGCUGCUGCAACUUCACCACUUUGCCCCUUCCUUUCCCAUUAAGCUUUGCUAGUCUUGAUACCCAUGGUAAUGGGAUUGCUGAGUCCUCGUGGCUCACCAGAUACUUCCAAAACCAGUUUGCAGGUGCCUAUGUUACCGAGCAGGUGACGCAACCAAGCUCAAGGAGGAGCUCGAUGAAGAUCUUGCCUUUUGUGUUGUUUCGUUCUAGUUGAUCAGUAGUGGAGCCCAGUUGGGGUCGAUCGGGGACCUUUUGUCGCAUUUGGGGUUCUUCUUUUAUUUUGGUUCCGUAGCCGGACCUUGAUUGUAUCUGGAUGAUGUAAUGCUUUAUUCAUGUAAUUGUGUGAAGUGGCGAUUGUAAGCCAACUAUGUAUCUCUUUCCCUUAUGUAUUACUUGGGAUGUGUGAAGAUUACCUCACUUGCGACAUUGCUUUCAAUGCGGUUAUGCCUCUAAGUCGUGCUUCGACACGUGGGAGAUAUAGCCGCAUCGAGGGCGUUACAUUGAAGCAGACGCUCCCGGCAAGCUGUGUCCCGACACGUUUGCCGGGGAGCAUCACGCUCCGGCAGGAUCCCAGAUUCUUGCCGUAGAAGCGGAUGUUCCCGCAGCAGCAUUUACGCCUUUAGUCCUUGUUGUCGAGCCACAAGCUCCGACAUGGGCACAACAGAUAGUCCAUUUCCUUCAAACAGGAGAACUUCCGGAAGAGCAAGAAGAAGCAGAGAAAGUAGCCCGGCAAUCAAGUAUGUACCAGUUUGUCGAUGACAUACUAUACAGAAGAAGAUUCAACGGAGUGAAAUUGAAGUGCAUUUCCCGGGAAGAAGGACAAGAGCUGUUGGCGGAGAUACACGGAGGCAUAUGUGGUCACCACAUUGGCGCAAGAGCACUUGCCGGCAGGGCCUUCCGGCAAGGUUUCUUCUGGCCGACAGCCCUCCAGGAUGCAACUGCACAAGUAACCAAGUGUGAAGCGUGCCAGUUCCACUCCAAGCAAAUACAUCAACCAGCUCAAGCUCUCCAAACAAUCCCUUUAUCCUGGCCAUUUUCGGUCUGGGGGCUCGAUAUCCUCGGCCCCUUUCCCCGAGCUGUCGGGGGCUUCGAGUUCUUGUACGUGGCAAUCGACAAGUUCACGAAGUGGCUGGAGGUGGAGGCAGUGAGGAAGGUGACAGCACAGUCAGCAGUCAAGUUCUUCAGGUCAAUUGUUUGCCGUUUCGGAGUCCCUAACAGGAUCAUCACCGACAAUAGCACACAAUUCACGAGCCGCACCUUCAUGCAGUACGUCCAAGAUCUUGGCGCCAAGAUCUGCUUCGCUUCCGUUCCUCACCCGAGAAGCAACGGUCAAGCGGAGAGGGCAAACGCUGAAGUACUGCGCGGGCUCAAGACCAGAACUUUCGACAGGCUGCACAGGUGCGGAAGAAAUUGGAUCGAGGAGCUGCCAGUGGUUCUUUGGUCGAUCAAGACGACGCCAAAUCAAGCCACUGGACAGACACCUUUUGCUCUUGUCUAUUUAGCGGAGGCAGUUCUCCCCAUGGAACUCGUAUACGGAUCGCCUCGAGUGCUCGCUUAUGAUGAGCUUGAGCAAGAGCAGCUGCGGCAAGAUGACGUGCUGCUCCUCGAGGGAGAUCGUCUUCAGGCUGCUGUACGAGCUGCUCGUUACCAGCAAGCUUUGCGCCGCUACCAUAGCCGCAAAGUUAAUGCCAGAAGCUUCGAGGAAGGCGACCUUGUUCUUCGGCGCGUUCAAUCCGCCAAGAAUUCCAACAAGUUGACGCCGAAGUGGGAAGGCCCUUAUCGGGUAAAGCGAGUCACUAGGCCCGGCGCUGUCCGCCUUGAGACCGAAGAUGGCUUUCCAGUGAGUAACUCCUGGAACAUAGAGCAUCUUCGCAAGUUUCACCCAUAAGGCGCGGUUGCCAGGACCCGUUCCGACAACCACCUUUUGUACAAGCAUUGCCGCUGUCGCAUGUAACCCUUUGUACAAAGCCGGGCGCAGAUCCCGUGCAUAAAUAAAGAUUUUAUGUUCAGUACAUGUUGUCAAAUUUCGUGCAUUCUUCUUUUUAGCAUGUAUACACUGACACUUUGUGCAGAACUUACCCCCGGUAAGCAGCAACGAGCUUCAAGGCUCCAUAACUUUAUUUUCUCUUCUUUCUUUUGCUCAAAAAGAAGGUUCCUCCGCCCACAAGUUCACCAGGGGGGGGGGGGAGAAGAAGAUAAACAUGUGGACCGGGCGUCGUUCAAAGAAGCAUAAGCCUUGCCGGGACACAAGCGACAGAAAAGCUAAGUUGCCAAAGUUUGAGCACUGACAUUUUUAAAAUUUUUAAGUUAUAUUCCUUGAAGGACCGUGCCUUGUAUGGAAAACCUGUGCGCGGAGGAGUCGGCUCGUGGCUAAGUUGCGCCCUUACUUUGUUUCGAGUCCGCUCAACAAUGAAAGUGCGCUGCAACUAGCCCGACAAGGUUUCUUGCCGGAGGUAACACCGCCAGCAGGCUGCUGAUGUUCCGCACUCAGCGCUCGCGGCAAGUGUGUUCGCACCGGCAAGUUCCCUAAAAGCGUAAGGGUAAAAACAUACAAGGGAUGGAAUCAAAUAAAGGAAGUAACAUAGCGAAUAGUACCCAGAAUAAAGUUAUAUUACAAUAAAUAACUUGCCGCGCUCUAAUGGAUUGUUCCUAUGACAUAUCUAGCAGCGGCAAGAAGAAGGAAGGGAGAAGAAGAGUGGCCUAAUCUGCGCGACUCGCCAUCGAUCCUCCUGACUUCGUUCACCUUGUCCACGAUGGGUGCCACGAUGGCUUUGAGCUCCUCAAGAUCAGCACCCGCCGGCAAUUUCUUGAGAACGCGGGAGAAGUCGAGGCCUGGAUUGCGGAAGAGGAUCUUCACCAGCACCUUCUCCAAGACCUUGGCGCAGAUUGCGCGCGACUCGUCCGCCAGCUUCUUCGGGAUCCUUUCCCGGAGUUGCUGGAGGGCCGUCACCACGCCCUUGAAGAAGAGAGUAAGCUUGGCGCUGGGCUGGAGGUUCUCGUCGGAGGAGUACCCAAAGCCCGCCAAGUCCAGCUCCGCCAGCUCCUCGUCGAUGGAUGCAGCAAUGUUGAUGAGGCCCUCUAUCCAGAGCUCCACCGUAGCCCUGAAGGUGUUCUGGGUCUCAGCGGCCCUCGUCAGCAGCUCCUCAUUGCCCUUGAUCUCCUUCUUCAAGUCAUCCUCUCGCCUCUUGGCGGCGUCCAGUGCCUCCGUCAAGGUGGCCAGCUUCAGCUCCAGAUCAACGCUUGAGUCCUUGGCGGCGUUCAGUUCAUUAGCCUUCUCGGCGAGUUGAACUUGCAGAUCGCCAUGGGCAAGUGCAUCCUUCUCGCGUUCGCGCUGGAGUGCGGCAAGCUCUUCAUUCCUCUUUCCCAUACCCGCCUCCAGCUGCGCCACUUUCUCCUCUAACUCCUUCUUGGCGGCCUCAGCAGCCGCGGCGGCAUCCUUCGCCUCCUUGAGUGCACCGCCAAGUGAUUGCUCCCGGGCCUCGAGCUCCUCCUCGUGACUGUCCAGACUAGCCUUCUUCUGUGUGAGCUCACCUUCCCGCCUGGACAUCUCCUCGGUGGCGAGCCUCUGCUGCUCCUCGGGUUCAGCCUUCUCCAGGAUGAACGCCUCCUUUGCCUCGUCAAGUUGCACCCUCUCCUCCGCAAUGGAUCGGAGGGCCUCCUGGUUGCGGUUCUGGAGGUCCUGCGCGUGUUUCUCUAUGUCAACUCCCGCCUGCGCGACAAGCGCUUCCCGGGACUCGAGCUUUGCUUGCCGGGCACGGUAGAGUGACACCAACUUCCGGAGCAGCUGCUCCUCCUCGGACUCGCCACUCCUGCUGCUAGGCGCGUCAACCACUGCCAGCCCAGCAGAGGCGAGUACUUCUCCAUCAAACUCCUCUUCUUCAACCGGCGCCCUGGAGCUCGACGCCCAGGGAAGCUUGAUGUAUACGCCCUCGCUGGCCUUCAAGUAUGCGCCUGGCUGGGGCUCCUCGGAGCCCGGCACUGCAUCAGCGGCGGAGGGGUCGGCAGACGGUGUAGCGCCUUGCGCUCCUGCGCCCUCCGGGUCGUCAGUACGAUCGCCGGACCCCUCGCCGGCUCCUGCGCCAGCAGCCUUGGCGGCUUCCUCAUCGGCGGGUUCCUCAGCGCCGGCCUCUUCCUCGCCAGCGGCGGCAUCUCCAGUAUUGCCGCGUGCGCCUUCCUCGCCGGUGGCCUCAGUCUCCAUCGGGUCUGUGAGAGGGGGAUCUGAGGACAGGAAGAGGAAGGAGAAGUCAAGCAAAUAUCCAAAAAAAAAGAAGAAGAAAGAAGAUCAGAAGAAGAACCCAAGGGAAGAUUUCCGACAAGAAGGGUUACCUGUGCUGGGCUCCGUGACCAUGGGCUCCACCACUGGGGGCUCACUGGUUCCGCCCCUUGCCGGGGAGCACUCCCUUGUCGGAGAAUCGCCCCUUGGUGGCGUAGUUGAAGCCGACAGCACAUCCGGGGUGGCCUCUGGUUGCUCCUGGUGGGCCUGUUCUGCUCCUACACAAAUGAAUCAACAAUCAAGAUGUCAGCAAAAGAAGAAGCACCCAUGCGCGUCCCACAACAGGGAGUAAACCAAACACUUACGCUGGGGGCUGUGCUGGGGGCUGCUGCAAGGAGAAGGGAUGGGGUCCGUCAAGGUGGUCUCGGACGUGUCUUCUGCCAUCACAGCAGGAUCGUCCUCGAUGACAACCACGGGGACCUUGGCCCUCUUCGCCGCUCUCUCGGCCAGAGUCCUGAAAUGAAGCAGGGAUUCAGAGAGAAGCAAAUCAGAUGCAAGACAAGAAACGACAAAGAUCAAAGAAAAUCAAGAACAGCGAGAAGAAAGUCUUACUCCUCCUCCUCCUCUUCAUCGUCAUCGGAGCUCAGCGCGGAGAGGUCGAAGUCUGGUACCCUCUCUGCGCGGCAUGGCGGAGGAGUAGGCUCCCUUCGAUGUUUGCCAGGAGCUGCGGCAGCAUCAGACGAGGCGGCCCGGGAAGACCCCGCCUCAGUUGGUGGCACAGCCUGGGACCCUCCCGCGGCAACGGUACUUGCCGCGGUGGAGCGUGUCCCACGGCGCCUCGGUUGCUCGACUGCCUGUCCUCCUGCCGUAUCUCCAACUCGACGGAGGCGCCUUCUUGGUUGGAAUUGGGGUUGCGCUGGGGGCUCCGCCUGCGGCAAGCUGCUCGAAGACGGCUGGCCACUCGCGCCCUCGACGGGCUCGCUCGCUUCGGCCUCGGGCUCCCCCUGGCCAACGACCUCUCCGGCAAGGUCCUCCCUGUCGGCAAGGCUUGCCGCCUCGGCCGCCUCUGCCUCCUCCAACGUGAAGCCGAACUCGCCCGCGGCGGCGGCUGCCGCCGCCUCUUCGGCCCUGCUGGCGAUGUACCGCAUCUCAUUUUCGGUGGUGGCGCGGGUGAGAAGCUUCUUUUCGUCGGCGUUGACUGCUACCUCCAUCAAGCCAUUGAAGAAUUGCUGCACGACAUCGUCAGCGGGCUCCAUCCAAGUUGGGAUUAUCCCGUGUGAAUCGCACUCUGGCAUCAUUGCGCAGAUGCGAUCGCGCUGGGAGUUGUUGCACAAUGGGAUGAUGCCCUGCGGCAGCCUGAACCACUCUGGAUGGUUGGCGUCGUGCUUGAACAGCUCCCUCAGCAUCCUGUCAAGCUCCAGAACUGUGAAGUUGAAAUUGAGGCCCGGGCGCAGCCUCAUGUUAUCCGCCGGGCCGCCAAACUGCCAGGCGGGCCUGCCCCUCUUCUGCAGAGGGGCGAUGCGACGGCGAAGGAAAUCUGCGCCAACCGCCCCUGCUGUGAGCCCGGCAAGCCUGAGCCGGAGGAUUCGGGUGGUGGCAAUCUUCAGCUUGGUGUCGUCCGGCGACAGAGCGCCCCAGUCGCCGCCGCGAACUUCCCGAGCCUGGCGCAGGUUGGUGAAGGGCUGCGGAUUGGCAUCACAGAUCCAGCACCACUCCGCCCUCCACUCAUCCCACUUGUUGCGGAGCUCGCCCGCCAGAUACACCUCCUUCAUGCCAAGUCGAGAGGUCCAGGCGACUCCGCCAGCCAAUGGCUCUCCUUUUUCGGCUCGGGGGGUGAAAUAAUGGCGAAAAAGAGCAACAUUUGGGUGGAUGCCAACAAAGUUCUCGCAGAGGUGUGCGAAAACCGCCAUUGUCAGAACGGCGUUGGGGUGAAAUCAAGAAGAUGAAACCCGUAGGUAUUCAUGAUGUCGCAGAAGAAGUCCGAAAAAGGUGGCAGAGCCCGCACUAGAAGAACACCGGAAAGAAAUAGUACCCUUUUGGGCACCGCUUCAAUUUGGAAGCCUCAGCGGAAAGCACCGGCGUGCGCGGAUGCGCCCGCAUCUGUGUCGACCAGAAGAGGUAGAACUCCUCCCGCAGCGCCUUCGGGGUGAGCUCGGCGGGGAAAAGCACUCGCUUCUUGCACAGCGCCUCAAGCCGCAACGCCUCGGCCUACUUCGCGGCCUUGCUGGUCUUCGGAGCCAUGGCGGAAGCGGCGAAGGAGCGCGGAAGCGUUGGGGACGACGGCGGCGACGGGCGGCGAAGCGCUGCUCUCUUUCGACUUGGGAAGCGGAGGGGAUUGGCGGAGCUUUCGGAGGAAGGAACUGCAAGUAGCGAAGGUGGGGGAACGGCCCUGUUUCCUCUGCUUAUAUACAGGGGAGGCGAACGUUACACAUUUCCUGGACUUAAAAAAAUUGCCCACGACCUCUCCCACGACGCCGCGAUUGACGCGUGCCGUUACGGGAGGCCGCGGUGGAUACGGAGCGGAUUUGGUUUGGACCCAGGCCGCGCGUGCCCGUGCCCUGUUUUGGGCCUGGCCCAACAGCGCUCGGCACCGUGUAUGGCCCAGGCCCGGGGGCUCCUGUCGGUGUACUAAAGUAGGGGUACCUUAGUACCCCGAACUUGUGCACGGGCAGUCACAGCGUCCUGCGGCAAGGCUUGCCGGACGCCCGCCAAGACCCUCCAUCAUUCCCAUUUACUACCAUUCAAGAACAAAGUGUUAACUUUGAAGACAAGGCCCCGGCAAGAGGAGCUUGCCGGGAAGAACAAGACCCCGGCAAGAAGAGCUUGCCGGGAAGGACAAAACCCCGGCAAGAGGAGCUUGCCGGGAAGGCCAACCAAGGCACUUCAAAAAACUUGCCACGACGCGCCGCGCGUCCCGGCAAGACCCGACGAGCGGCAAGCUUGCGGGUGCGACAAGAUAGCGACCGCGGCAAGGCGCUUGCCGCGGCAAAGCCACCACUCUGCGCCCACGCUCCAGCUCACCCGACGACGUGUCGCCACAGGAUCAUUCCUGGUGCACGUGGCGUGUGGUUGUGCAGCCUAGCGGUGCGAGGUGGCGAGCGAAGGUGACUAGGAGUCCAUCGUGGCGAUCGGUGGCGCCCCUAACGGUCGUUUCCUGCACUGUUGGAACAACCAGACGGGCAGUAAAUGCUCUUGUCCCCUGCCGUCAGAGUUAGGUAGGGGGCACUGUAGAUUGCAGUGUACCAACCCACAUUUUUACCUUUCUACCCCUCUCUCUGCGUUACCACCUGUCGGUGACCCCUUUAGACUAUAAAAAGGAGGCCCGUGCGCACGUAGGGGGGGUUGGGGUCGGUUCGGUUCGACUCAUUCGAAACCACAGCAUACCCACGCUUUCGAGCAAGAACAAAUACAAACACAAAGCAGCAGUAGGAGUUUUAUCUCUCCGGAGAGCUCCGAAGCUGGGUAAAAAUCCCCCGCGCGCCCGACCUCGAUCUGCUCUUCAUGCACCCUCCGCUCCCUGCCGGACCAGAAAAGGGGCCCUGCCCCAUAGGUUCUCGUCUCACGCCACGACACAAUGGCUGCCAUCUCCUUGUGGUCUGUCGUCCGCCCGUCCCGAAGAGCGCUGGAGCGCGAGGAAGCCAUGGUGGGCAGUAGUGGUGUCGGCAGGAGAAAGAGAACGGAGGCGGAUGACUAUGGCUAUGGCCGGCGCGACAGUUUAUAUAGAAAUGGUGGGUGGCGGAGGGACAUACGUGUGGCGCUGGAGUAGUUGCCUUGGCAACCGCAUAUCAUUACUGUGGGUGGCAGAUGGAUGGACGGACGGUAAUCGCCUGCAGCGGGAAGCGGGGCGGGUGGCGCUGACUGUUUCGGGCAGAAAGCGCGUGCGGGCGAGGGAGGCGGUCUGGGUGGGCCAGGGCAAUCAGACUCGUGCUUGACAGCGGGUCGGUCCAGCAGCCAGACAUGCUGGCUCUCCAGCGAGCUCGCCGAGUUGAGCGACGACAAUCAGACGAUGGACGUAGCUUCCGACCAGGAGCCGGCGCCACUAUCCAAGCCGGUUCAUGCCAUGUUCACCAUAGAGCAGGUGCGGCCGCACUUUGACGCCCUAAGGGCGGAAGAGCUACCAGUGCAGGAGGACCUGUGUUGCAACCUCCGUCUCCUCAAUGAGCACCGAUGAACAAGCGAACGACAAUGCCAUCACGGACAUGUGGCCCUAUGAUCCUGGCUUCCCGAAUAAGCAGCGAGCGCUGUAUCAGACCAUCCGUAGGGCCCGUGAGGCCCUCUCCGUUGUCCUUCGAGUUGUUGUGCUCACCAUGGCGCCGUCGUCUCGCAUUGUCAACAUGGUCAAUGGACAUGAGGAAUGAGGAGAUGACUUUACUUGGAGAGGAUGACAGUGGGGACCCACCAGAGCCAUAGCCGCACGUACGCAAGUGCCUCCUUAUUAUAUACAACUAUAUUUUUUUGCUUCCUCCUAGUUUCCUGACAUCACGGUCCCACACCAUUGUCAACCUAUGUAGUCAAUAAAUGAGAGAAUUGCACAAGGAGCGGCCGAUAGUUGGGACCAAGCAGCUCGAGCAGUAUUUGUGCUUUUGAGGUGUGAGCACUGCAGAGUUUUUCUUGAGCGAUGUUUUCGGUGUUGUUCAGAGGAGAGUAGGGUAUUAACUCGGCGGGCUGUGGCCCGUCUAGCCCAGGCCAGAUAUCCAGCCCAGAUAUUAAUUUUUUUCAAGCUGAAAAUGGCUAGCCCAGCUAUACUUUUUUUGAGGAAUACCCAGGCAAGGUCAACUUGUUAUUCUCCGCCCCGCUCGGCUGCAAAUCUUUCCUUGGAGGGAUGCAUUAGGCUUAACAAGAAAAUGGGCUUUAAGAAAUAAUAAAUGGGAUGUAAUUAUAAAAACUUGGCAGUAACUAUAAAAAAAUGCACCAAACACGUAAUUACUUUAUAAAAUAUUAUUUUUGGAUUUUGAAAAUUUUAAUUUAAUUAAUUGUUGCAUGCGCAAUGUUUCGUUGGAUUUUUAUGUAAUAUAAAUUUAUAUUGAAAUUGUAUUUAAUCUGCCUAGAAAUUUCAGGAUAAAAAUAUUUCAGAUCCCAUCAAAAUGUGGGAAAUUUUAUUGAAUUCUAUUUUGAACGGUUGGAUGAAAUUAUUAAUCGUUGUCCUAGCUAGAAAAUGGGUGUACUUUUAACAAACUGUAAAUGGGUUGUAGUAAAUUCCAUUAGAAUUAAAAAAUGGGUUGCACAUUCUUACAAAUCUCAAAUGAGAUAUAAGUUCUCUGCCACACACUUGUGGGCUUACUAAGUUGACGCGUCCCCUAAAAAAAAUAAGUUGACGCGUAUGCAAGGCUUUGUCAACUUAUAGUCAACACACAGUUCUGGCAGCAGUGGCCAUUGGAUGUCCAUCCAACGGAUGUCGUGCUUCUGCUUCAAUCUCGUAUAUUCUAGCUUCACCCGCCCAAAAAGUUAUUCCUCCCCCUGACAUCUGGGGCGCACAGUUUCAGAAGCCGACUUAUGGUCCUACUAAGUUAACCCGUACCAAGGGCUUUGUCAACUUAGUCAAUAUAAACGAUUCUAGCUGCAGUGACCGUACGAUGUCCAUCCAGCAGCCGUCAUGCUUCUUCAACCUCUGGUCUUCUUGCUCCAGCCGCCCAAAGUAGCGUCGGUUGUGCCACCUGCUCCUGUCUCCCGUUGUCGGCUGUGCUGCCGCGGAGGCCUCACCGCCCCCUACUACUCCCACUGCUGGCCAGGCCAUCCCUCCACUCAGCCACACCCCCUGUUAUUCUGCGGCGACGGCAGCCUCACACCGCAGUCGAACUAGUGAACCCUCGUACUCCUCUCCGCAUGGGCAUCCACUGUCGCGUCUUCCCCGGCUCCGCGUUGUCCCUUUCCUAGGCCUCACUGUCCUCCACCGCCUUGGUGCUCUCAGUGCGGCGUGGUCAAUGUGGUCAACGACCGACUUCCAUCGGAAGAGUACUGUACGUGGAGAGGCUGACAGCUGGCUCCACGGCCGCAGCAAGGAAGUGCCUCCUUAUUACGCGGAAAAUAAUGAUUCCUCCACCUGACAGCAGGGACCCACCGGACGGGCCACCGUAUUUCGCAAAAAAAAGUUUCCCCCUGACUGCUAGGACCUACCAGCUACAUCUUCGCAUGCAAGGAAGUGCAUUGAUAUUACGAGCAAAAAAAUGAUUCACCCUCUGAAUGCUGGGACCCACCAGCUACAUCUUCGCACACAAGUAAGUGCCUGACAGUCGGGACCCACCUGGUCGAAGCGUACGUAGCGUUGUCAUUCCAGUCACGAACGUGUACAUACAUACUGGUCGAUGUAGAGGCACGUACGUGUCGUAGAAGAGGCACGCAUGUAGCAUAUACACGUACGUACAGUGGCCAGGGUGCAAGAAAGAAAAUACAGCCACGUACGUACAUACGGGCGGGGUCUCGAACGCCUACUCGCGCAUACGUACGGCCAGGGCUCAUGUACAUGGUUGGGUCAGAAUUGAGAAACUGCUCGUCGUCGUGUUCAUGGGGAGCCAACCGGCUGGGUCGGAACAUAAUGCGUCGUCGUGUUCAUCGGUUGGGCUUGGACGGAACAGCUGAUGGAAACGAGGCUUGGCGUACCACAGAAUGGGGGAAACGGCCUUGUGUUUGACCGGCCACGAUCAAAACGGGAUCCCGUUCAUCAGGAGAGGUCUGGCGUACUGCAAAACGGAGGAAACAGACUUCUGUUGAAUCUUCUAUGGUCGAAACGGGGUCCUGUUGACCGGGAGGAGUGUGGCGUACCGCAAAACGGAGGAAACAGACUUGUGUUGGAGCACUACGGUCGAAAUAAGGGUUCUGUUCGUCAGGAGUGGUGUGGCGUACCGCAAAACGGGACUCCACAGGAUACUAUUUAUCUCCACCGUCGACCUCCUCCAGCCUCCAGGGGCUACUGUUCAUCCACCUCGACCUCCUCCAGCCUCCACCUGCGACUAUUCAUCCACGGGCUCCUGUUCAUCCAGCCUCCACCGCGCGCUCCUCCACCGGCUACUGCUCAACCAGCCCUCUCCACGGGGUCCUAUUCAACCACCCCUCCACGGGCUACUUUCAUCUAGCCCUCCACAGGAUACUGUUCAACCAGCCCUCCAUGGGGUCGUCCUGUUCAUCCAGCCCUCCACGGGGUCCUGUUCAUCCACCCCCAACCGGCUUGAUCGGGGUCCUGUUCAUCCAGAGGCAACACCACGGGGUCCUGUUCAUCCACCCCCAAUGGGAACUGUGUAACGCCCCGAAUACAACUUUCCAUAUUCGUAACUGCAACUCUUGCCUUUUCCGGAGAUGUGAUAUGUUAUUCCCUUCGUGGUUGGGUUUUUGUCUUUUGUUUUGCAUUUUGUUCAUGUCUUGCAUCUCAUCUUAUAGUAUCAUGUGCAUCGCAUCCAUAUGUUUUCAUAAAACCCGUACCCGUUCGUAGUUGCCGCGUUCCCCUUGCCUCCUUUGACCGUUCCGAGACCAACCGAGUUUCUCGAGUCCCUCUUGUCUGACCACCUAACCUCUCUGCACAACCAUCGGCCUCCUCUUGUGCGUGUCCGAAACUUACCCGAACCCGAACCGGUCUGUCGUUUCCGAUGGAUCCGUAUCAUCCCCAAACGUCUACAAAACAUAUCCGUUUUCUCAUUUGGUUUCUCUAGCCUAUUUCCGUGACCACCCGAUUACGAUCGGAGGGACCGGAUAGCCCUAGCGUAAACCACUUGCUAUAUAUAUAUAUAUAUCUAUAUCNNNNNNNNNNNNNNNNNNNNNNNNNNNNNNNNNNNNNNNNNNNNNNNNNNNNNNNNNNNNNNNNNNNNNNNNNNNNNNNNNNNNNNNNNNNNNNNNNNNNNNNNNNNNNNNNNNNNNNNNNNNNNNNNNNNNNNNNNNNNNNNNNNNNNNNNNNNNNNNNNNNNNNNNNNNNNNNNNNNNNNNNNNNNNNNNNNNNNNNNNNNNNNNNNNNNNNNNNNNNNNNNNNNNNNNNNNNNNNNNNNNNNNNNNNNNNNNNNNNNNNNNNNNNNNNNNNNNNNNNNNNNNNNNNNNNNNNNNNNNNNNNNNNNNNNGGGAUCCAAGCCCGCAGCCAGCCUCUCUCCCUCCCUCGUUUUCAGCGUCACCAACCAGAGCCCGAUCCAGAUCCCCUUCGCUCCAAUCAGCCGCUGCCUCCUUCUUCCUCGAUCUCCCCUACCACCUUCUCCCAUCGAUCCAUCCACCCAACCCACGCACAACCAGCCGCUCUCGAUCCAGCCUCGUGGAGCGCUCCUGAGGUCCGAGCUCCUCCAACCUUGCGACCCCGCUACACCGGCGAACCUCGCCGCCGGCAACCACCACCAGCAGAUAAGCCCUGCGCCGCCCCUUCCUUCCUGCUUCUCUCUUCUCCCUCUUACAUCUCCAUCUCGUUUCCUUUUUCCGUCAGAGAACCAUCAGCCGAAGCUGUCCCUGUCGCCCGAGCUCCUCCCUGCUCUGCGUCGCGCCGCUGCUCUGCUUCCCGGAGGACCUCGGCGAGAGCCUCGCUCGCGCCUCAUCCCGCCCCUAUGCGUUGACCACCACGGCCGCCGCGCCGCCCCUCCGCGACGAGCUCCGCCGCCCAAACUGCGCCAUCGCCUGCCGCAGUCCCUGUCGCCGUCGUCUUCAACGGUUCCUGACGAGGACGGCGCCCUCCUGUCCGUCUCGAGCGCCAAGUCCGUCCGCGCCUCGCCUUCCUCCACCUCGCCGACCCCUCCGGAUUCGGCCACUGGAACCCGAGCCCGCGCCGGAUCCUCAUCGCAGUUCCUCAUCGCCGGCCAGUCCCGCCCUCCGCUGCUGCCUUGCCGAUGUCACGCCGGUGCGCCAUUCCCCUGCUUCUGUGUGCGAGCACGCAAGGACGACGACCAGUGCCAAGUUCUGCUCGAGCCGCCUGCGUUGACCCACCUGCCUUCGCGCCAAGGCCUAGCCUCGCCAGAUCAGCAGGCCCAGCGCCCCCCAGCUCCUCUUCCCCGACCGGGCCAGGCCCAAUGUGAGCAGAACCCCAGCCCAGCACCCAGCAGUUUCAGCCUAGUGUUAUUUUUUUCCUGUUGCUGCGAAUUUGCCUAUUAUCCAGAAAACUGCCCAUUUUCAGAAAACCCCUUAAUGUUCAUGCAUCAAUAACUCAUUAACCAUGCAUCGGAUUAAAACAAAUUAUAUAUGUAAAAUGCUUAGAAUUUUGUGUAGAUUAAUAAUUUGCCACUUUCAACCAUGUUAAAUAUGUUUAAUUUGCUGUUUGCAUUAAUUUGCUAAAAUGCCAUGCUAAAAUGAUUUAUUUCAUAAUUAAAUAACCGUAGCUCGGUUUUAAAUAAACUUUAUAUGUAAAUGGGGUGGAAAAAUGCAUAGAAUAACAUGGUCCACUUUAUUUUUCUGUUUAACUACAUUAAAAUAUGGUUUAGGGCAGAACAGUACCGAAUCUAAAAUAUGCAUAUGGGGACUUUCCGGAAUUGUUGUUUGUUGUUCCGGCCUCAUUUAAACUUGACUAAAUAGUUAGUUUACUUUUGAUUCACCCCUUGCCAUGUUUAACAACAUUUAAUAUUGAUGAGUAGCAUAACCGAGAGAACUAAAUACUUGCAUGUGGUGUUUCGUCAAUAUGCAACUCAUUGCAUAUUGAGCUCCACUUAACUUGUAGUGUUGUUUGUGCAUAUUGCCAUGCCAUGCCUCAUUAAACCGGACAUGCAUCAUACUUGUUUGUGCAUCAUGCCAUGUUUAUGCUCGUGCAUUUACCAUGUUGUUUGUUUAUUUCCGGUGUUGCUUCUUAGUUCCGGUAAUGUUGCGAUUGUGAGGAUUCGUUCGACUACUCCCGUUCGUCUUCUUCAUGGACUCGUUCUUCUUCCUUGCGGGAUUUCAGGCAAGAUGACCGCUACCCUGGAUCUCACUACUAUCAUUGCUAUGCUAGUUGCUUCGUUCUAUCGCUAUGCUGCGCUACCUAUCUUUUGCUCUUCAAGCCUCCCAAAUUUCCAUGUCAGCCUCUAAUCUUUUCACCCUUCCUAGCAAACCAUUGCUUGGCUAUGUUACCGCUUUUGCUCAGCCC
Molecule: long non-coding RNA, 23370 nt
Filed under: Triticum aestivum (bread wheat)
Lineage: Eukaryota; Viridiplantae; Streptophyta; Magnoliopsida; Poales; Poaceae
Description: long non-coding RNA (TAES_LNC016351)
Source: RNAcentral